AAAAUUACUCUAAAAUAGUACGAUUUUUUAGUUAAGAUAAUAAUGGAAGGAAAAGAAGAUGAUUUAUCUAAAUCUUUCUUAGUUAUUAGUUUGAAGCAAAGGAAAAGUAGUGAAUGGUGUAUUCGAUGUAGGGGUUGUAGGUCGAGGAAAGAGAUGGUACGAAAGUAGUGAAUGGUCUAUUCGAUGUAGGGGCUGUAGGUCGAGGAAAGAGAUGGUACGCUCCUUGGACGUGGGAACAAAUUAAAAAGGUCCACACAUGCAAUGUCACAUGCAUAUACAUAUUUAGGUACUCCUUAAGAUUUAGUACACAAUGUCACAUGGAUCUACGUCUACCCACCAGCUUUGUACAGAGAGGGAAAAAGAAAACAAACAGAUUUAGUGACGUAUAGAAAAAUAUCAAAAAAGCAUAUGGUAUCACCUUGAUCAGAAGCACCAUAAUGUGGCCAAUCAUUUUCCACUCCCUCAAGAAUGCUUUACAUAUACACUUUAG
RNAcentral lists this long non-coding RNA (490 nucleotides) under Cucumis sativus (cucumber). RNAcentral's name for it is "long non-coding RNA (CSAT_LNC002584)". The record is from RNAcentral. Lineage: Eukaryota; Viridiplantae; Streptophyta; Magnoliopsida; Cucurbitales; Cucurbitaceae.